Molecule: long non-coding RNA, 1234 nt
Organism: Mustela lutreola (European mink)
Lineage: Eukaryota; Metazoa; Chordata; Mammalia; Carnivora; Mustelidae
Exons: 5
Source: RefSeq, a predicted model, not a curated record
GCGGGGAAAUGGUAUGGGGAAACAGCCAGGCAGAGACCCCAGACUCCCUUCCCUGGUGGUCCACCCUCCCUCCCCCACCACAGGAAGUCGGUCAACAUGGUUCCUCUGCUGACAACCUCAAAAGCGUAAGACUCCAGGACGGGUCUGCGCGUCUGUGUGUCUGUGUGUGUCUAUAAAUUUCCCCACUUCUGAGCUGGAACCAGGACUUAUUUGGCAAAGAAUGUCAUCCUGGGGAAGGAGACUGACCGCCCAGAAACAGGAACGUGUAGGUGGUUUCAUUUCUCAGAGCUCACGAUAUGGUUUAUUUAUCCAAGGCUCUGGGAUUUUUCAAAGGUUUACAGAAACAUGUAAUGGAAGAUAUGGACUUCCCACGUACCCCUCCCCCCCACACCCACUUCCCCCUUUGCUGAUAUCUUGCAUUAGUGUGCCCCACCCUUUAGGUCUUCCAUCCAGGAGUCAGAUGCCCCGCACUCUGAGUUCCAGUGGACGCGUACGAAGCAUUCAAAGGGGUUGGCCUCCAAGCUUAAGCUGUCCCCUAAGGAUGGACCUGCCCCAGGCUGAGAAGCCCCAUUUUACCUGAUCACAAGGAGGAGGAAGAACCACCAUCCUAGACGCUCCAGCUUCAAGAGCUAGAGGAAUGCACUGAGAUUGGAAAGGCCAAACCCAACUGGAAGCUGGAAGAGAAGAGAACACGGCAGCUACAAGCCACAGAGUUCCGCUUCCCGGAACACAGAGCAAGGCGGAAAGCGGGCCUGGGGGCAAGUGGGGAGUGCCCAGUGCGCACACCAGGGAGAACAUUGCAAGGUUGGAAGCGAUGGGUUAGAGCCACACAGAGCCACAGGGACAGAUCUCAAAAACAUGGUACUGGGUGAGACAAAAAAGAUAAAUAACCUAACACUGUUUGUGUUUCAAAUGCAUGCACCUAGGGGCACCUGGGAGGCUCAGUGGGUUAAAGCCUCUGCCGUCAGCUCAGGUCAUGAUCCCAGGGUCCUGGGAUCGAGCCCCGCUUCGGGCUCUCUGCUUAGCAGGAAGCCUGGUUUCUCCUCUCUUUCUCUCUCUGCCUGCCUCUCUGCCUACUUGUGAUCACUGUCAAAUAAAUAAAUAUUUAAAAAUAAGAUAAAAUAAAAUGCAUGCACCUAAAAAAAAAAUACAAAAUACAAAGCAGCAAUACUCUUUUCACAAGGACACCUACAAAGACAAGAUUCACUUGCUGGAGUAUUUGCCUGUGGCAGGA